Leucoraja erinaceus (little skate) is the source of this 827-nucleotide long non-coding RNA. RefSeq lists it as uncharacterized. The transcript has 3 exons. Lineage: Eukaryota; Metazoa; Chordata; Chondrichthyes; Rajiformes; Rajidae. The record is from RefSeq and is a predicted model, not a curated record.
UGCGCGUGAGCGCUGGGCGGACGGGGAAAGGAGCUCAGGCUCCUGGCAUCAAAGAUCCUAUAGCAGAGGCCAUCUGACCAGCAAUGUCUAUGAGCCAUCUGACCAGCAAUGUCUCACCAGCAAUGUCUAUGGGACUGGUGCUGCACUGAGAGAUUACUUCACUUCUUCAGAGCGGCCGUCGGAACGAUUCUUCAGCAAAAACUUGCACUUCAACAAAAUAUAAUCCAGGACCAGGUCGGAGAAAACCGCGUUUUAACGCCGUCCCCCCCUCAAACACGCCAAAAUCGCGCAAACGGCCAGUGGCAGAAUUGCAGCGCCGCUGAAGACUUGAAAAGGCACACCAUCCCUGGAUAUGACAGGGUAUAUGGAAGAGUUACAACAUAGGUAUAUUUACAGGUCUUUAUCAAAUGAUUUUACUCUUUUUUUGUUCUAUCCAAAUUAAUAACUUGUCCUUAAUAUUUUUCUCAGUAUUUUUGACAUAGUUGUCCAACUUUGUGCUAUAAAUUUGAAGGGCAAGGUAAAAGCCACAUUAUGUUAUAGGUCAAAAGUCACAAAAAGCACUCCAGAUUAAAUUGCUGGUUUUAUCAAGAGGGAAAAUGGAUACAUUUAUUAGGGAUCAUGGAAGAUGUAACUGGCAGGAAAGAUUAAAAGAGGUGGUCAAUGGAUGUUGUGUGUUUUGAUGAACAGACAACAUAUAUUGGUUGACAAACUGUAAAUAGUGAAGGAUCAGAGAUGAAUCUCUGGAACUCUCUGCCACAGAGGGGAGUUGAGGCCAGUUCAUUGGCUAUAUUUAAGAGGGAGUUAGAUGUGGCCCUUGUGGCUAAGGG